GACGAACGCUGGCGGCGUGCCUAACACAUGCAAGUCGAACGGAAGUAAGAGCUUCGGUUUUUGCUUUAGUGGCGAACGGGUGAGUAACGCGUGAGGAACCUGCCUGUAACAGGGGGAUAACCCGGAGAAAUCCGGCCUAAUACCCCAUAAGGAUGUCUGUCCGCAUGGGCGGUCAUCUAAAGGUUUUCCGGUUACAGAUGGGCAUGCGUUCCAUUAGCUGGUUGGCGGGGUAACGGCCCACCAAGGCGACGAUGGAUAGGGGUUCUGAGAGGAAGGUCCCCCACACUGGUACUGAGACACGGACCAG
RNAcentral lists this ribosomal RNA (307 nucleotides) under uncultured bacterium. RNAcentral's name for it is "bacterial SSU rRNA". It matches the Rfam family "Bacterial small subunit ribosomal RNA", at positions 28 to 334 of the family's 1533-position model. The record is from RNAcentral.